This 515-nucleotide ribosomal RNA is filed under the name uncultured bacterium. RNAcentral describes it as "partial 16S ribosomal RNA". It matches the Rfam family "Bacterial small subunit ribosomal RNA", at positions 28 to 523 of the family's 1533-position model. The record is from RNAcentral.
GAUGAACGCUGGCGGCGUGCCUAAUACAUGCAAGUCGAGCGAAUGGAUUAAGAGCUUGCUCUUAUGAAGUUAGCGGCGGACGGGUGAGUAACACGUGGGUAACCUGCCCAUAAGACUGGGAUAACUCCGGGAAACCGGGGCUAAUACCGGAUAACAUUUUGAACCGCAUGGUUCGAAAUUGAAAGGCGGCUUCGGCUGUCACUUAUGGAUGGACCCGCGUCGCAUUAGCUAGUUGGUGAGGUAUCGGCUCACCAAGGCAACGAUGCGUAGCCGACCUGAGAGGGUGAUCGGCCACACUGGGACUGAGACACGGCCCAGACUCCUACGGGAGGCAGCAGUAGGGAAUCUUCCGCAAUGGACGAAAGUCUGACGGAGCAACGCCGCGUGAGUGAUGAAGGCUUUCGGGUCGUAAAACUCUGUUGUCAGGGAAGAACAAGUGCUAGUUGAAUAAGCUGGCACCUUGACGGUACCUAACCAGAAAGCCACGGCUAACUACGUGCCAGCAGCCGCAGUAA